RNAcentral lists this transfer RNA (75 nucleotides) under Thermoguttaceae bacterium. RNAcentral's name for it is "tRNA-Pro". It matches the Rfam family "tRNA". From Rfam's summary of the family: Transfer RNA (tRNA) molecules are approximately 80 nucleotides in length. Their secondary structure includes four short double-helical elements and three loops (D, anti-codon, and T loops). The record is from RNAcentral. Lineage: Bacteria; Pseudomonadati; Planctomycetota; Planctomycetia; Pirellulales; Thermoguttaceae.
CGGGGCGUAGCUCAGUCUGGCUAGAGCGCUACGUUCGGGACGUAGAGGUCGCAGGUGCAAAUCGUGUCGCCCCGU